RNAcentral lists this small RNA (2066 nucleotides) under Arabidopsis thaliana (thale cress). Lineage: Eukaryota; Viridiplantae; Streptophyta; Magnoliopsida; Brassicales; Brassicaceae. The record is from RNAcentral.
GCAUCCCUCUUUUUUUCGGUUUUUCUCUUUUUUUGUUUUGUUAAAAAUGUAUGACUUUAUAACUUUUAGACCGUGAGGCCAAACUUGGCAUGCCAUACCUUUUCGGAAAGCCCAAAGAGAGCUCUCCAAUUAAUGAGGAAGGAAAAUGGAAUUCUUCUAUUGUUUUUUUUUUCUACUCCAAAUUUUGACCUUAAUGUACUUUUUCGUGCCUUUUCGUGAUCUUUGCUAUAGUACGGGGUGAAAAUUAUAUGUUCGGACAUUGUUUUCGAAUAUUUUGCAUGUAUCAAAGCUCUAAUAAACAAGAUAGGGUAUUCCUACAUAGCUAGUGGGACCCACGACAAAUGGAUCAUAAAGUCUUAAAAAAGAAUAGAUACGAUUGCAUUGCAUGUAGUAACGGAUGCGAUUAUACCAACAUUAAUGCACCGGAUCCCAUCAGAAAUCUGCAGUUAAGCGUGCUUUGGCGAGAGUUGUACUAGGAUGGGUGACCUACAGGAAAGUCCUCGUGUUGCAUUCCUCUUUUUUUUCUCGGUUUUUCUCUUUUUUGUUUUGUUAAAAGUAUAUGACUCUAUAACUUUUAGACCGUGAGGCCAAACUUGGCAUGUGAUACCUUUUCGGAAAGCCCAAAGAGAGCUCUCCAACUAAUGAGGAAGGAAAAUGGAAUUCUUCUAUUGGUUUUUUUUUCUACUCCAAAUUUUGACCUUAAUGUACUUUUUCGGGCCUUUUAAUGAUCUUUGCUAUAGUACAAGGCGAAAAUUAUAUGUUCGGACAUUGUUUUCGAAUAUUUUGUAUCUAUCAAAGCUCUUAUAAACAAGAUAGGGUAUUCCUACAUAGCUGGUGGGACCCACGGCAAAUGGAUCAUAAAGUCUUAAAAAAAGAAUAGAUACGAUUGCAUUGCAUGUAGUAACAGAUGCGAUCAUACCAGCACUAAUGCACCGGAUCCCAUUAGAACUCCGCAGUUAAGCGUGCUUGGGCGAGAGUAGUACUAGGAUGGGUGACCUCGAAGAAUGUCCUCGUGUUGCAUCCCUCUUUUUUUCGGUUUUUCUCUUUUUUUGUUUUGUUAAAAAUGUAUGACUUUAUAACUUUUAGACCGUGAGGCCAAACUUGGCAUGCCAUACCUUUUCGGAAAGCCCAAAGAGAGCUCUCCAAUUAAUGAGGAAGGAAAAUGGAAUUCUUCUAUUGUUUUUUUUUUCUACUCCAAAUUUUGACCUUAAUGUACUUUUUCGUGCCUUUUCGUGAUCUUUGCUAUAGUACGGGGUGAAAAUUAUAUGUUCGGACAUUGUUUUCGAAUAUUUUGCAUGUAUCAAAGCUCUAAUAAACAAGAUAGGGUAUUCCUACAUAGCUAGUGGGACCCACGACAAAUGGAUCAUAAAGUCUUAAAAAAAAAUAGAUACGAUUGCAUUGCAUGUAGUAACGGAUGCGAUUAUACCAGCAUUAAUGCACCGGAUCCCAUCAGAAAUCUGCAGUUAAGCGUGCUUGGGCGAGAGUUGUACUAGGAUGGGUGACCUACAGGAAAGUCCUCGUGUUGCAUUCCUCUUUUUUUUCUCGGUUUUUCUCUUUUUUGUUUUGUUAAAAGUAUAUGACUCUAUAACUUUUAGACCGUGAGGCCAAACUUGGCAUGUGAUACCUUUUCGGAAAGCCCAAAGAGAGCUCUCCAACUAAUGAGGAAGGAAAAUAGAAUUCUUCUAUUGGUUUUUUUUUCUACUCCAAAUUUUGACCUUAAUGUACUUUUUCGUGCCUUUUAAUGAUCUUUGCUAUAGUACGGGGCGAAAAUUAUAUGUUCGGACAUUGUUUUCGAAUAUUUUGUAUCUAUCAAAGCUCUUAUAAACAAGAUAGGGUAUUCCUACAUAGCUGGUCGAACCCACGGCAAAUGGAUCAUAAAGUCUUAAAAAAAGAAUAGAUACGAUUGCAUUGCAUGUAGUAACAGAUGCGAUCAUACCAGCACUAAUGCACCGGAUCCCAUCAGAACUCCGCAGUUAAGUGUGCUUGGGCGAGAGUAGUACUAAGAUGGGUGACCUCGAAGAAUGUCCUCGUGUUGCAUCCCUCUUUUUUUUCGGUUUUUCUCUUUU